This 433-nucleotide ribosomal RNA is filed under the name uncultured bacterium. RNAcentral describes it as "partial 16S ribosomal RNA". It matches the Rfam family "Bacterial small subunit ribosomal RNA", at positions 29 to 507 of the family's 1533-position model. The record is from RNAcentral.
AACGAACGCUGGCGGCAGGCCUAACACAUGCAAGUCGAGCGAGGACUUCGGUCCUAGCGGCGGACGGGUGAGUAACGCGUGGGAACGUGCCCUUUGCUUCGGAAUAUCCCUGGGAAACUGGGCGUAAUACCGGAUGAGCCCUUUGGGGGAAAGAUUUAUCGGCGAAGGAUCGGCCCGCGUUGGAUUAGGUAGUUGGUGGGGUAAGGGCCUACCAAGCCGACGUUCCAUAGCUGGUUUGAGCGGAUGCUCAGCCACACUGGGACUGGGACACGGCCCCGACUCCUACGGGAGGCAGGAGUGGGGAAUCUUAGCCAAUGGGGGAAACCCUGAUCUAGCCAUGCCGCGUGAGCGAUGAAGGCCUUAGGGUUGCAAAGCUCUUUCAGCUGGGAAGAUAAUGACGGUACCAGCAGAAGAAGCCCCGGCUAACUCCGUG